AGCUGGGGCCACACAUUCACGAUUUUUACUACCGUCCUUGACAGAACCAUUCCCGAUUAAAAUUUAUUAAAAGUCUGAUCAAGAUCCUGUGAAUCGUGGAUGGAAAUUAAAAUUUGUAAAAAAAAAUAAUUUGAUCACGACAACAAUCAGAUAGUGUUCAGGAAGCGUCGAUAUUCAACCGUUUCCAAGCGAAUAUGUCCCGAUAAUCCCGUUCUGAAUCCGUUUCUAAUCCGAUUCGUAUUUUUCGCCAGGUAAAAUUCGACCGAGUCUGUCACGACUGCGUCCCGACUCUACCGAAUGUAAUCCGACAGAGAUCAGACAGUGACCAGACAGUGAACUGACGCUGACGGAAGUUAUCCGUUCAAAAACUGUCAGCAUAUUCGGGAUGAUCAGGUACUGUCGGAACGUAAUCCUAUCACGGUCCGCUCUAUCGCAUUGUAAACGGCUUUGUCUGGUCUCAGUC
This 463-nucleotide long non-coding RNA is filed under the name Mytilus galloprovincialis (Mediterranean mussel). The record is from RNAcentral. Lineage: Eukaryota; Metazoa; Mollusca; Bivalvia; Mytilida; Mytilidae.